RNAcentral lists this ribosomal RNA (465 nucleotides) under Vreelandella stevensii. Its description in RNAcentral is "partial 16S ribosomal RNA". It matches the Rfam family "Bacterial small subunit ribosomal RNA", at positions 338 to 795 of the family's 1533-position model. The record is from RNAcentral. Lineage: Bacteria; Pseudomonadati; Pseudomonadota; Gammaproteobacteria; Oceanospirillales; Halomonadaceae.
CCUACGGGGGGCUGCAGUGGGGAAUAUUGGACAAUGGGCGAAAGCCUGAUCCAGCCAUGCCGCGUGUGUGAAGAAGGCCUUCGGGUUGUAAAGCACUUUCAGUGGGGAAGAAAGCCUUGGGGCUAAUACCCUCGAGGAAGGACAUUACCCACAGAAGAAGCACCGGCUAACUCCGUGCCAGCAGCCGCGGUAAUACGGAGGGUGCGAGCGUUAAUCGGAAUUACUGGGCGUAAAGCGCGCGUAGGCGGUCUGAUAAGCCGGUUGUGAAAGCCCCGGGCUCAACCUGGGAACGGCAUCCGGAACUGUCAGGCUAGAGUGCAGGAGAGGAAGGUAGAAUUCCCGGUGUAGCGGUGAAAUGCGUAGAGAUCGGGAGGAAUACCAGUGGCGAAGGCGGCCUUCUGGACUGACACUGACGCUGAGGUGCGAAAGCGUGGGUAGCAAACAGGAUUAGAUACCCUAGUAGUC